RNAcentral lists this ribosomal RNA (254 nucleotides) under uncultured bacterium. RNAcentral describes it as "partial 16S ribosomal RNA". It matches the Rfam family "Bacterial small subunit ribosomal RNA", at positions 524 to 776 of the family's 1533-position model. The record is from RNAcentral.
UACAGAGGGUGGCGAGCGUUAAUCGGAAUUACUGGGCGUAAAGCGUGCGUAGACGGUUAUUUAAGUCGGAUGUGAAAGCCCCGGGCUCAACCUGGGAAUGGCAUUUGGGACUGCAAGGCUGGAGUACGGCAGAGGAGAAUGGAAUUCUUGGUGUAGCGGUGAAAUGCGCAGAUAUCAGGAGGAACACCAGUGGCGAAGGCGGUUCUCUGGGCCGAUACUGACACUGAGAAGCGAAAGCGUGGGGAGCGAACAGG